This 253-nucleotide ribosomal RNA is filed under the name uncultured bacterium. RNAcentral describes it as "partial 16S ribosomal RNA". It matches the Rfam family "Bacterial small subunit ribosomal RNA", at positions 524 to 776 of the family's 1533-position model. The record is from RNAcentral.
UACAGAGGUCCCGAGCGUUGUUCGGAUUCAUUGGGCGUAAAGGGUGCGUAGGCGGCAUGGCAAGUCGGGUGUGAAAUCCCGGGGCUCAACCCCGGAACUGCACUGGAUACUGCUUUGCUAGAGUACUGGAGAGGGAACUGGAAUUUACGGUGUAGCAGUGAAAUGCGUAGAUAUCGUAAGGAAGACCAGUGGCGAAGGCGAGUUCCUGGACAGUUACUGACACUGAGGCACGAAGGCCAGGGGAGCAAACGGG